CCUACGGGAGGCAGCAGUGGGGAAUAUUGCACAAUGGGCGCAAGCCUGAUGCAGCGACGCCGCGUGAGGGAUGACGGCCUUCGGGUUGUAAACCUCUUUCAGUAGGGAAGAAGCGAAAGUGACGGUACCUGCAGAAGAAGCGCCGGCUAACUACGUGCCAGCAGCCGCGGUAAUACGUAGGGCGCAAGCGUUAUCCGGAAUUAUUGGGCGUAAAGAGCUCGUAGGCGGUUUGUCGCGUCUGCUGUGAAAGACCGGGGCUCAACUCCGGUUCUGCAGUGGGUACGGGCAGACUAGAGUGCAGUAGGGGAGACUGGAAUUCCUGGUGUAGCGGUGAAAUGCGCAGAUAUCAGGAGGAACACCGAUGGCGAAGGCAGGUCUCUGGGCUGUAACUGACGCUGAGGAGCGAAAGCAUGGGGAGCGAACAGGAUUAGAUACCCUGGUAGUCCAUGCCGUAAACGUUAGGGCACUAGGUGUGGGGGACGAUUCCACGUUUUCCGUCGCCGUAGCUAACGCAUUAAGUGCCCGCCUGGGGAGUACGGCCGCAAGGCGUAAAACUUCAAAGGAAUUGACGG
Molecule: ribosomal RNA, 572 nt
Filed under: uncultured bacterium
Lineage: Bacteria
Description: bacterial SSU rRNA
Rfam family: Bacterial small subunit ribosomal RNA
Source: RNAcentral